Molecule: ribosomal RNA, 253 nt
Filed under: uncultured bacterium
Lineage: Bacteria
Description: partial 16S ribosomal RNA
Rfam family: Bacterial small subunit ribosomal RNA
Source: RNAcentral
UACGGGGGGAGCAAGCGUUGUUCGGAUUUACUGGGCGUAAAGCGCGUGUAGGCGGCUUGGUAAGUCCGGUGUGAAACCUUGGGGCUCAACCCCAAGCCUGCACUGGAUACUGCCUCGCUUGAGUCCGGGAGGGGAGAGCGGAAUUCCUAGUGUAGCGGUGAAAUGCGCAGAUAUUAGGAAGAACACCGGUGGCGAAGGCGGCUCUCUGGAACGGUACUAACGCUGAGACGCGAAAGCGUGGGGAGCGAACAGG